This 406-nucleotide unclassified non-coding RNA is filed under the name Melitaea cinxia (Glanville fritillary). Its description in RNAcentral is "misc RNA ENSMCXG00005012399.1". The record is from RNAcentral. Lineage: Eukaryota; Metazoa; Arthropoda; Insecta; Lepidoptera; Nymphalidae.
GAUGUACCGAUUUUGAUAAUUCUUUUUUUGUUGGAAAGGGGAUAUCCCUAGUUUGUAGUACCAUGAGAAGAAAACCAGGAUCAGAUGAUGGCAUCCCAAAGAAAUCGAGGGGAAUCUUCGAAAAUCGUAGUGGCGACUAAUGCGUUUGUUAUUUUUUUUUUUAUCUACUUACGUUGUAUUACUUGUCGAUGUAAUUGAAGUCGGUUUUUUUUCUUAAUUAAUAUAUAUCUUGCCUUGGAAAAUAAACAUAUAUUUUUCGUGGUCGGAAACUUGGUGUUACAAGUUUGUCAUCAUAUCUUGUACACAUUAUGAAACAACAAGAUUCUUGCAUACGCACACGUGCACAUCGUGACGUUCAAAGUAAUUUCUUCGUUAUAAUUCAACCUUGUAAGACUAGUAAUAAAGC